UGGGGAAUAUUGGACAAUGGGGGCAACCCUGAUCCAGCCAUGCCGCGUGUGUGAAGAAGGCCUUCGGGUUGUAAAGCACUUUAAGUUGGGAGGAAGGGGUGACUACUAAUAUUAGUCAUCAUUGACGUUACCAACAGAAUAAGCACCGGCUAACUCUGUGCCAGCAGCCGCGGUAAUACAGAGGGUGCAAGCGUUAAUCGGAAUUACUGGGCGUAAAGCGCGCGUAGGCGGCUGAUUAAGUCGGAUGUGAAAGCCCCGGGCUCAACCUGGGAACUGCAUUCGAUACUGGUCGGCUAGAGUAUGAGAGAGGGAGGUAGAAUUCCACGUGUAGCGGUGAAAUGCGUAGAUAUGUGGAGGAAUACCGGUGGCGAAGGCGGCCUCCUGGCUUAAUACUGACGCUGAGGUGCGAAAGCGUGGGGAGCAAACAGG
RNAcentral lists this ribosomal RNA (429 nucleotides) under uncultured prokaryote. RNAcentral describes it as "bacterial SSU rRNA". It matches the Rfam family "Bacterial small subunit ribosomal RNA", at positions 355 to 776 of the family's 1533-position model. The record is from RNAcentral. RNAcentral also lists the same sequence under 1 other name.